RNAcentral lists this long non-coding RNA (1003 nucleotides) under Junco hyemalis (dark-eyed junco). RNAcentral describes it as "lncRNA (ENSJHYG00000003043.1)". Lineage: Eukaryota; Metazoa; Chordata; Aves; Passeriformes; Passerellidae. The record is from RNAcentral.
GGGGAGGCGAGGCUUCGCCAAGCAAAGAAGUUUUUUUUACUCUUUCUCCGGAGCCUGCGCAGACGGAACCUUCUCUUCCCCCCCCUUCUCUCUCUCCGGGGGCAUGGGAGUGGGCGGUCCCGCUCGAACCAGUGCCGUUGGUGCCGCUCCUGCCAGCCUCUCCGACUCCGCCCGCCCAGAGAUGGGGGCGGCACCGGUCUCUGAGGCCUCCCCGCCCCUGUCAGCUCCUCCACUCCAGGCGAUCCCGUCUCUGCCUCUCCCGUCGGUCCCGCCCACGGCUUCACAGGCCUCCCUGCCCCUGCCAGCGCCUGCGACUGAGAAUGCAGAAGAGGCACUUCCUGUGGCUGCUGAGUUGCUAAGCGACGACGACGCGUCUCCAGCUUCCGGCUCAGCGGAGGAGUUGUUCUCUCCGGCCCCUCCGGCCCCUCUGCCGUUUCCAUCGGCUUCCUCGCCGCCUCAGGCCGAGACGGUUCCUGUUCAGGAUGGUGCUGGAGACGGCGCCGAACCUGCGGGACCCUCGGAAAAGCCCACGGCCACUCCUACACCCAGCGUGAUUUCCUCCCCGGUUCCGGCUUCCCCCCUGCUGCCUGCACAGACUGCCCCAGCAGUCCUGCCGUUGUCGGAGGAUGUGUCCUCCGUGUCGGAGUCAGAGACUGCCCUGGAACUGGCGGCUUGUGCGAGCUCGGACCAUCCCGGACCGGUUUCUGUAGCAGCGGCCCCGGCAGCUGGUCCUCCCUUCCGUGGAGCGGGAGCUGCCCGCCAGCUGACUGGGGGGACAGCCCGUCUCCCUGCUUUUAAGAUCAGCAUUCUCGGCGGGUUCGGGGGUGUUUUUUCGGGGAUUGUCCCAUGGAGGCUGCCAUCUCUGCCGCCUCUCUUGCGCCCUAGUGGCGGGGGGCAGGUGCAUCCCGAGAGCUCUGCCUCUGGUUCCCAGACCGGAGGGGGUGGGGAUGAAGCCAUGGGGCAGACGGAAGACAAACCUGCUGCGUUUGCAGUGCAGAGGGAG